UACGGAGGGAGCUAGCGUUGUUCGGAUAUACUGGGCGUAAAGCGCACGUAGGCGGCGCAGCAAGUCAGGGGUGAAAUCCCGGAGCUCAACUCCGGAACUGCCUUUGAAACUGCAGUGCUAGAAUUCUGGAGAGGCGAGUGGAAUUCCGAGUGUAGAGGUGAAAUUCGUAGAUAUUCGGAAGAACACCAGUGGCGAAGGCGACUCACUGGACACAUAUUGACGCUGAGGUGCGAAAGCGUGGGGAGCAAACAGG
This 253-nucleotide ribosomal RNA is filed under the name uncultured bacterium. Its description in RNAcentral is "partial 16S ribosomal RNA". It matches the Rfam family "Bacterial small subunit ribosomal RNA", at positions 524 to 776 of the family's 1533-position model. The record is from RNAcentral.